UACGUAGGGUGCAAGCGUUGUCCGGAAUUAUUGGGCGUAAAGAGCUCGUAGGCGGUUUGUCGCGUCUGCUGUGAAAACUCAGGGCUUAACCCUGAGCCUGCAGUGGGUACGGGCAGACUAGAGUGUGGUAGGGGAGAUCGGAAUUCCUGGUGUAGCGGUGGAAUGCGCAGAUAUCAGGAGGAACACCGGUGGCGUAAGCGGCGUACUGGGUCUUUUCUGACGCUGAGGCACGAAAGCUAGGGGAGCGAACGGG
RNAcentral lists this ribosomal RNA (253 nucleotides) under uncultured bacterium. RNAcentral's name for it is "partial 16S ribosomal RNA". It matches the Rfam family "Bacterial small subunit ribosomal RNA", at positions 524 to 776 of the family's 1533-position model. The record is from RNAcentral.